This 247-nucleotide ribosomal RNA is filed under the name uncultured bacterium. RNAcentral describes it as "partial 16S ribosomal RNA". It matches the Rfam family "Bacterial small subunit ribosomal RNA", at positions 523 to 769 of the family's 1533-position model. The record is from RNAcentral.
AUACGUAGGGAGCGAGCGUUGUCCGGAAUUACUGGGCGUAAAGGGCGCGUAGGCGGCCUGGUAAGUCUGGAGUGAAAGUCCUGCUUUUAAGGUGGGAAUUGCUUUGGAUACUGCUGGGCUUGAGUGCAGGAGAGGUAAGUGGAAUUCCCGGUGUAGCGGUGAAAUGCGUAGAGAUCGGGAGGAACACCAGUGGCGAAGGCGACUUACUGGACUGUAACUGACGCUGAGGCGCGAAAGUGUGGGGAGC